This is a long non-coding RNA of Eriocheir sinensis (Chinese mitten crab), 6864 nucleotides long. RefSeq lists it as uncharacterized. Lineage: Eukaryota; Metazoa; Arthropoda; Malacostraca; Decapoda; Varunidae. The transcript is spliced from 8 exons. The record is from RefSeq and is a predicted model, not a curated record.
UUCCAGCGCUGGGCCCGGCCGCUGCAAGCCUUGUUGGGUCAGCAUGUGGGAAGUCACCGAGAUGGAGUUUGAGGCGGUCGGCCUCAACCAUGAGGGUGUGCAUGGAUCUGUAGCGGCAGCCUGGUGUAAUUAUGUACAUUGGCUGGCCGUGAGCCUUGCCAGGGAGUGCUGGGCGGCCUGGUGCCCCGGCUGAAGGCAAGCGGCCUCCCUGAGACACCCAAAGACUGGCUGCCAGAAGGUCUUGUGCUGGUACUGGUGUCUGAAGGCUGUGCAGUGGUGCAGACACAGGCUCAGAGUGCCCAGGUGGAGCCAGGCUCUGAUACUGGUUGCCGCCUGUCUGGGAGCACUCACAGAGGCCGGCGCCCUCAGCAGUGACGAGGAGUCUCUCCCUGAAAGCUCUCCCUCAAGGCACAGCAGCAGGCCACCGCCGCCCUUGUCAUCGGGAGCACCGAGAGUAUCCCGAGGAACACUUCAAUGUCCAGGUGUGAGGAUGUCAAGCCACCACAAGCCAGGAGGGAAGUGGCUGCUGGGGCCAAGACAGCAGGUGGAGAGGAACCAUUAAGAAACAUGAUCCCGCUGCUACCACCACCGGGUUCAGCCUCAGCUCUUCACCCCUGGACGGAGGAGUGUUUCUUGGCGGCCAAACUCAGGAGACUCACCAGAAAAGACCAUUCACCCGUGCCUUAUAUCGUGGGUGAGGAGAGCAGCCUGGACCAAGAAUCAAGAACUGGAAUGAAGAACCAAUUAAUUAAGGCUCUGAGACUGACUGAACUCCCUUGAAGUAAAAAUGAGGUGCCUGGCCAAGCUGCUGGGUCCGUGUGACCACCGCGGGGACGCUGGAGGAGCCCGGUGCUGCCUUCCUGGGGCCCACACCCUCCUCAGCAUCUCCCUGCCUUGUUACACUCAAUGACAAUAGGUGUGUUGACCAAGAAGAAGAAGAAGAGGAGGAGGAGAAGAAAGAUGAUGAUGAUAGAGGCAACAUGAAGAAAAGAAGAGGAGGAGGAGGAAGAAUGGAAGAACAAGAACAAGAGGAGGAAGAAGAGAAGAAGAAACACACACACACACAGGCACAUAAGACAAACACCUAUUUUUUUUAUAUUAUCCAUUUUUAUUAGUCCCUAUAACAUACAUUAUAUACAUACAAUCAUAUUAUACAACAUAUGCAUAAUUCUAUACAUUAGAUCAUAGAGAGUGAGACUUGAGAGGUGAGAAAGAGAGGCCCCCCCCCCCCCCUCUCUCUCUCUCUCUCUCUCUCUCUCUCUCUCCACAGCUCACAGGACCCCACAGAUAUACCCCCUACAGUAUGUUGAGGACCCCCCUAGCCAACAUACUGCCCACAUAGCCUUAUCAAUGUUACUAUAAAGUAUAUGUGUGUGUGUUUUUCUGUUAAUAAAAAGUUAAUUUGAAAUAUGUUAUAUUCCUAUGAGAGAGAGAGAGAAGGCAACAAGGCAAGGUAAGAAGAUACAAACAAAAUAAACUGUCAAUUGUUUGUAUGGCUAACCAUAUAAGACUUUAUGUUAUAGAGAAAGAAAGCUAACUAAACUGUAUAGGCCUAUGAAUAUGCCUACUUAGUGAGUGGCAGCUGAACUCUCUAACAAAGGCAAUAUUAACUUGAGAGAGAGAUCUCUAAUCUGUAUGUAGCAAACUGUAUAGGCCUAUGGAUAUGCCUACCUAUUGAGAGGAAGCUGAACUCUAUAACAAAGGCAAUAUUAUAAUAACAGAAAAAAAGAGAAAAAGCUAACUCUAAACUGUAUAAAACUAAUUGUAUCUAAACUGUAGGCAAAUUGACCUCAACUAUACAGUAAACCCUGGAUAUAACGGACCCGCUUAUAACGGAUUUUGGAUAUAACGGACAAGGUCAGAGGGUUAGAAAUCCACGCGGACCGACUGAGAAUAGUUUUUGAACCACCCGCUUCUGGUAACUACAACAGCGUCUGCUGGUCACCUCACCCUCCUCCCUUUAUCUGCCGCCCCAUCCCUGGGUUACUGUAGUCUGCCUCGGCCCACCUCAUGAAAUAUUUCCUCCUCGUGGUUUCCAUUCAAAUGAAGAACGUAUUUAUACCACAAGAAAGUCUUAUGCAUCAAUCCAGGGCGUAAUGUAAUGGAAAAUAGCCAAGUGUUUGCGAGUGUCAGUACAGGCACAGCCUAACCCUUUCCUUGCGCGCGGUGCGGACGCGACUAUCCCCUCAGGCGCUGUCGGGGAGCCCAAUGGGGGGUCUCUUUUAACCUCUGUAUCUCAAAAACUAUUCAUCACAGCUAAAAAACAAAAUCACCAUUGGAAAGAGGAGGUCCAGAUCUAUCGGAGUCGGUUAUGUAUGCCUCUCUUGCGAACGUACAUGCACGUUCACGGAGUGUUGAAUGUUAACACUUACGUCGGUGCGUGCGGGAUGAUCAGCUGUAUUGAGGGAACUGCGGACAUCUUUUCUUCAGAUUCUGGCAAUAUUUACAACUAUUUGGUCAAAGAAUCAGUCAGUGACAGGUGAAGCUAUGCAAAAAUGCCGCUAUAUUGGGCAAGAACAUCCACCAGUUGCUUGUCCGUACAUUUGCCGCGCUGGGCUGAUAUGAUUUUCCACCAAAUUUAGUGAAGAAUCCACUCAAUUGGGAAUCCUGUGUUGUGAGAUUUAGUGUUGGAACACUCUCAUAUGCGGGUGGAGGUUGCAGUGAGUGUUUAGCACCACCAGCAAAUACGCCUAAUGCCCGCUGCAAGCGUUUAGCAAUGAAAGGGUUAAGAGUGUCGAGGGGGGAUAGACCACCACUUAAGUAGGUUAGGUUAAGUUAUCUUUGGUUAGUAAAUGUAUUGGACACGCGGUGUGGGGCGCGGCAAUACGCAGCGCGGGACGGGACAUGGCGGCGGUGUGUGUGGUCCAGUUCGCGGACUGGUGUUCCGAGAAAUACCUCCUUGCAGAAAUAAGUCACUCUGGUGUCCACCACGCAUGCGCACUGGUGGGAUAUACGGCAGGAAAAACAUUAAUUAACCUGGUUUUGUUCUAGUUUGUCCACUUGUGAUCUUUGCGAGCGGUGAGUGAAAUGUAGAAGGUUUUGUUUAGUCGGCGCAACAUCUGUGGUCAUAUGCCGGAGAGAGACAGAAGGGGAAGGAAUUAUAGGAGAAGGGAACAGACCCCAGGAGACGGGACACAACCCCCGAUUAAUACCCGUUACCCAUUCACUGCUGGGUGGACAGGGGUGUAGGGUAUCGGAAAAGCUGCCUAAAUUUUCCCACUCCACCCGGGAAUCAAACCCGGGCUCUCUCGGUUGUGAACUGAGUGUGCUAACCACUGCACCACAAAGCCCCCAGCUAAGUUCAACAAAAGUCACGCAAUUAUGGGCUUUAGAAUCAACUGCUUUAAGGUUGCUUUUUCCUUAACUUGCUUCACCACACAGUGCAGCAAGAAAUAAGCCACUGCCAGAUGACGCCAAAAUCAGAACACUGACUUCGUUGGUUUGGUCGCCCGGUCUACACUAAACACCUCAUGUCUAAUUCACUUAAGAAUAAAUGGUCAAUGUCCUCAACUUUGAUAUCAAGGUGGCAAUGUUGUACAAUAUCCAAAAUAAUCGGGUCACUAGUAAUGCUACGCCACUCAUGUGCAAAGUAAUGCAUCAAAGCUGUUACUUGCCUCUGCUACUGCCUGGGCUAGUGUUUCUAAUGCAUGCCAAACAUACUGCUCCUUUAUACACACUAAGUGAAUUAUAUAACUCUUGCAGCAUACACUGACCUGAGGGUAAAACUGUUGUUUCUAUCUGAAGAAGUGAAGGCCUUGGCAAGACAAAAUCCAGAAUAAAAUGUUGCAGCAUCGCAUGAUUAUAACAAGGCAGUGGACUGUGAGCACCAUAAAAGCAGGCUUCUAAGAGAUUAACCCCUUGACUGAGGAUUUCCUACCAGAAGACAUCACCAAGCUACAGGAAUGGAACAAAAAGUGGCUGCUACAAUUCAAUGAAGAAAAAUGUAAAGUCCUGCACCUUGGGAGGGGACAUCCAGCACACCAAUACUACAUGGGAAACACUCCACUAUCCACCACAGAAGCAGAGAAAGACCUGGGAGUGUAUGUUACCAGGCUACCAGUGAAGGCAAAAUCCGUGCCAAUCGCAGCGGACGGGUUAAGUAACAGGCAAAUAUAAUCAUGUGCUGUAACAACAAAAUUUGGAGUUUUACUGCACCAUGAACAACUGUCAGGACAUGAAGGUUAGAUAGAAGAAAAAUGAUCAAUAUGAAACUUAUGAACUGAAUGACUCAACAAACAACAACUACCAUGAACUUGCAGACCAUGUGACACAAACAGUGAGAUAUGAUGACACAGUGAUGAAGGUUACGACUGUACCUGACAAGGCCGUGUGCCACAGACAGGAUGGCCGGCACAGCUCAGUCAGGACCUUUAUGAGAAGCUGCAGGGUGGGACAGCUGGGGUGCUGCAGCCGAGGGUCUGUUGGCCAGGACGCUGCGGAGGGCCACGCAGCAGAGGCAGGACUGGAGGAGACAGUGGCUGUGUAGGGUUAUGGAGAUGGAAAUAAAAAAGAUGACACAGUGUUAAGUGUGUGUAAGAACCAGGAACUGAAGGUGCUGAGGACUUGUUGAGAAAGAAAACUGGGAAAUAAAUUACCUUCAAGAAGGCUGGUGCAGAAACACAUGAGGUCUGCUGCUGCUGGUGAGAGGCAGACACACAGGCGAAGUGACACACUACUCACCACUCCCAGGAGGGGCUUGUUGGACACGUUACAGUGUGUGUGUGUGUGUGUGUGCUGACACUGAGCAGUGUGUGUGUGUGUUGAUGUGACAGCCUUCAAUAUGAAAAAAAUUACAAUGAAUAGAGUGAGGAAAAUGCAGCUUUGCAAACCAGAAUUGAUGAGUCAGGAUAUAAGUUUUCAGCUUCAGUUGUGAAUGAGAAUCACUAAAAGGGAAACUUUCCUGAGGCAGCAACAGAGCUCUGUGGAGUGACACGAGGAAAGGGAGGAAGGAAACACAAGGGGUGGCAACAGAAGGCCGUGGUCCAGCAGGAGGCUGUGGAAAGAGAUAUGAUUUUAUGACAUGGCAAAGUUGGAAAGUUUGGUUUAGUCAGCGCAACAUCUGUGGUCACAUGCCGGAGAGUGACAGGAGGGGAAGGAAUUAUAGGAGAAGGGAACAGACCCCAGGAGACGGGACACAACCCCCGAUUAAUACCUGGUACCCAUUCACUGCUGGGUGGACAGGGGCGUAGGGUAUCGGAAAAGCCGCCCAAAUUUUUCCACUCUGCCCGGGAAUCAAACCCGGGCUCUCUCGGUUGUGAGCCGAGUGUGCUAACCACUGCACCACGAAGCCCCCGACAUGUGGCUGGACAAAAUGCAAAGAAAUAUUUGUUAGGAUUUAAUAGUCACUGUAACACGGAACACUCAGGGACCUCAAAGCAUCAGUGUGUUGACUUAGCGAGUGUUGAAAUGAGCUCUUCAGUGACUACCAUUAUGAGAGCUGUGCCUUGUGUAUUACUAUUGAUGAAGUUGUGAUCGUUGUUAGUGAGCAAAUAAAGCAGAAGAAAUAGAGAAACAACUGGCGAUGUUUUGGGGGCUGUGCGACUUAGGGAUGUGUGCUCACAAACUUCCAUAUUAGAUGAUGCUUACUGGGAGUGCUGAUGAAUGGUGGUUACUAUGAGUGCUAGAGACAGGUGCUGGGAGUGCUGAUGAAAGGGGAGGUGAGAGGUACAGGCAUUAGUCAGGCAUUCAAUAAAACAAGGGUUAGUAACAAUGAUAUGUAUUUGUAUGACAUUAGGAACAUGCAUUAGAACUGUUUCCCAGAGGCACCACCACCAGCGAACUUGUCCCCCUCAGCCCAUGCCCCUACCCUGAGGUCACUGAGGAGGAAAAGGAGGGAGGAGGAAAAAAAGAGGAGGAGGAGGAAGAGAAAGAAAAAGAGGAGGAAAAGAAGAGGAGGAGGAGAAUGGAGAAGGAGGAGGAGGAGGAGGAAGAGAAAGAAGUAGAGGAGGAGAAAGAGGAGGAAAAGAAGAGGAGGAGGAGAAUGGAGAAGGAGGAGGAGGAGGAGGAGGAAGAGAAAGAAGUAGAGGAGGAGAAAGAGGAGGAGGAGAAUGGAGAAGGAGGAGGAGGAAGAGAAAGAAGAAGUGGAGGAAAAGAAGAGGAGGAGGAGAAUGGAGAAGGAGGAGGAGGAAGAGAAAGAAGUGGAGGAAAAGGAGGGAGAAGGAAAAGAAGAGGAGGAGGAAGAGGAGGAGAAGAAGAGGAGGAGGAAAAUGGAGCAGGAGGAGGAGGAAGAGAAAAAAGAAGAGGAGAAAGAGGAGAAGGAAAAGAAGAGAAGGAAGAGGAGGAAGAGAAAGAAGAAGAGGAGAAGGAAAAGAAGAGGAGGAAGAGAAAGAAGAAGAGGAGAAAGAGGAAGAUGAAAAAAAGGAAAACUAAACUCGACCACAGAACACAACACAGAGUGACAGCCGUGAAAAUCUAUCCUGCAUAAGAAGACAAUCUGAACCAUGAACAUCCUUAAGAAAAAUUGAGUCUAAGAUAUGUGUUGUUUUUUUAUACAGACGUCAAUUUGAAUCAUGACAUAACCAUAACAUUCAACAUUCAGCUCAAAAUACUAGUGAUUUUUUUUUAUACAUAGAUGAUUUGACCCAUGAACACACCCACAUCCAUAAGGUAUAUUUGCCUGGAGUUAGUGUAAGUUGUUACUGGUGUUAGCGUGCUCAAUCCUGCCCUGGUAAAGGUUCUAAUUCCAUCUCUCCACCUGGUUCUCUGUCUGGUGUUAGUGUGCUCCAUCCUGCCCCGGCAAAGGUUCUAAUUACAUCUCUCCACCUGGUUCUCUGUCUGGUGUUAGUGUGCUCCAUCCUGCUCUGGCAAAGGUUAUAAUUCCAUCUCUCCACCUGGUUCUCUGUCUGGUGUUAGUGUGCUCCAUCC